This 587-nucleotide ribosomal RNA is filed under the name uncultured Actinomycetes bacterium. RNAcentral describes it as "bacterial SSU rRNA". It matches the Rfam family "Bacterial small subunit ribosomal RNA", at positions 224 to 823 of the family's 1533-position model. The record is from RNAcentral. Lineage: Bacteria; Bacillati; Actinomycetota; Actinomycetes.
GAUGGGCCCGCGGCCUAUCAGCUUGUUGGUGGGGUAACGGCCCACCAAGGCGACGACGGGUAGCCGGCCUGAGAGGGCGAACGGCCACACUGGGACUGAGACACGGCCCAGACUCCUACGGGAGGCAGCAGUGGGGAAUAUUGCGCAAUGGGCGAAAGCCUGACGCAGCGACGCCGCGUGAGGGAUGAAGGCCUUCGGGUUGUAAACCUCUUUCAGCAGGGACGAAGCGAAAGUGACGGUACCUGCAGAAGAAGCACCGGCCAACUACGUGCCAGCAGCCGCGGUAAUACGUAGGGUGCAAGCGUUGUCCGGAAUUAUUGGGCGUAAAGAGCUCGUAGGUGGUCUGUCGCGUCGGCUAUGAAAACUCGGGGCUCAACCCCGAGCUUGCAGUCGAUACGGGCAGACUUGAGUGCGGUAGGGGAGACUGGAAUUCCUGGUGUAGCGGUGAAAUGCGCAGAUAUCAGGAGGAACACCGGCGGCGAAGGCGGGUCUCUGGGCCGUAACUGACACUGAGGAGCGAAAGCGUGGGGAGCGAACAGGAUUAGAUACCCCGGUAGUCCACGCCGUAAACGUUGGGCGCUAGGUGU